GCCCGACUAGCUCAUCGGUAGAGCGCCUCACUAGUAUCUUCCCGCAAAAGGAUAAUAGUUAAAAAUGAGGAGGCAACAGGUUCGAUUCCUGUGUUGGGCA
RNAcentral lists this transfer RNA (100 nucleotides) under Hypoxylon rubiginosum. RNAcentral's name for it is "tRNA-Thr". It matches the Rfam family "tRNA". Rfam says of the family: Transfer RNA (tRNA) molecules are approximately 80 nucleotides in length. Their secondary structure includes four short double-helical elements and three loops (D, anti-codon, and T loops). The record is from RNAcentral. Lineage: Eukaryota; Fungi; Ascomycota; Sordariomycetes; Xylariales; Hypoxylaceae.